This 440-nucleotide ribosomal RNA is filed under the name uncultured bacterium. RNAcentral's name for it is "partial 16S ribosomal RNA". It matches the Rfam family "Bacterial small subunit ribosomal RNA", at positions 338 to 795 of the family's 1533-position model. The record is from RNAcentral.
CCUACGGGGGGCAGCAGUAGGGAAUAUUGCUCAAUGGGGGAAACCCUGAAGCAGCAACGCCGCGUGGAGGAUGAAGGUUUUCGGAUUGUAAACUCCUUUUGUUAGAGAAGAUAAUGACGGUAUCUAACGAAUAAGCACCGUCUAACUCCGUGCAAGCAGCCGCGGGAAUACGGAGGGUGCAAGCGUUACUCGGAAUCACUGGGCGUAAAGAGCGCGUAGGCGGGAUAGCAAGUCAGAUGUGAAAUCCUAUGGCUUAACCAUAGAACUGCAUUUGAAACUGUUAUUCUAGAGUAUGGGAGAGGUAGGUGGAAUUCUUGGUGUAGGGGUAAAAUCCGUAGAGAUCAAGAGGAAUACUCAUUGCGAAGGCGACCUGCUAGAACAUAACUGACGCUGAUGCGCGAAAGCGUGGGGAGCAAACAGGAUUAGAUACCCCAGUAGUC